Molecule: ribosomal RNA, 301 nt
Filed under: uncultured bacterium
Lineage: Bacteria
Description: partial 16S ribosomal RNA
Rfam family: Bacterial small subunit ribosomal RNA
Source: RNAcentral
CAGUAGCCGCGGGAAUACGUAGGUCCCGAGCGUUGUCCGGAUUUAUUGGGCGUAAAGCGAGCGCAGGCGGUUAGAUAAGUCUGAAGUUAAAGGCUGUGGCUUAACCAUAGUACGCUUUGGAAACUGUUUAACUUGAGUGCAAGAGGGGAGAGUGGAAUUCCAUGUGUAGCGGUGAAAUGCGUAGAUAUAUGGAGGAACACCGGUGGCGAAAGCGGCUCUCUGGCUUGUAACCGACGCUGAGGCUCGAAAGCGUGGGGAGCAAACAGGAUUAGAUACCCCAGUAGUCCCUGUCUCUUAUACC